Molecule: long non-coding RNA, 353 nt
Organism: Solanum dulcamara
Lineage: Eukaryota; Viridiplantae; Streptophyta; Magnoliopsida; Solanales; Solanaceae
Exons: 3
Source: RefSeq, a predicted model, not a curated record
AUUUUAUGUGGUGCUGCAAAUUUAAGGUUGAGACAAUAUUGGACAACAUAUACGUAUAAACGCUAAAGGUACAGAUACUUAUUUUGGAGAGCCGCCACCUUAGGAUUCUACUCAACGGGUUGAAGUGCUCCAUUGUCUCAGAGCCUAAACUUUUGGUACUAAUUCUUAUAAUGUAUAUAUUUGUGUAUUUAGGGGUACGGCGGGGCCCUGUCCCGUCAUAUGCUAUUGUUAAUCCUCUUAGAGGUCUGUAGACACAUGAGUGGGUUGUAUGUAGAUGUUGUCUGGUGUACUAGUAUGGCUUAUGUUUUUGGACGUUUACAUUCGGAGUGGAAGCCUUGUCGGCUUACAUAUUC